Clostridiales bacterium is the source of this 88-nucleotide non-coding RNA. NCBI's taxonomy places the organism in Bacteria, Bacillati, Bacillota, Clostridia, Eubacteriales. The record is from Rfam.
GAGCGCCGUGUGAUGGGAAACUAUCAUGCACGGUGCGGGGCAGGGGAAAAACCCGAGGCGGCAGUGCCAGAGGUUUACCUAUUGCCAU